GAACCCAGGGCCUCAGGCAUGCAAGGCAAGCGCUCUACCACUGAGCCACCUUCCCAAUCUGCAAUCUGCUUUUUUAUGUGAGAAUCUCAAACUUUAAAAUGUUUGCAAAGAAUUGCAAAUACCUUUAAAACACUGUACAGACUGUGGAAGUCAGAGCAGAAAAAUGGUUCCUUCCAGCCUAGGUCCUGAACAGCAGGUUAAAUAUCACUGACAACUUGUUAGAAAUGUAAAUUUGUACCAAUUGAAUCAGAAACUCAUAUGGUCUGGCAGUCAAUAUGUACUGUAGAUAUUCUGAUAAUAGCUAAUUUUGAGAAGCAAUGAAAAAGAGUGUUUUAGAACUGAGUUAGGUGCCUAACAUGGUAGAUUUUUAAAAAAUUUUGUUAAAAGAUGAUGUGGAUGGGUAACAGUGAUUUGAGGAAUAUCAAUUUAGAUGUUAGUUUGAGGCAGAUUAUGGAUUAUAUUUACAGAGUCGGUCUUUGAAGACGCUGAAGACUUUUAUUGAUUAUGGGAAUGAUAUGAUUAGAGUGAUUUAGGAAGAAUAGGCAUUGAAGUCAGAGUAAAUCAGAAUUUUAGGUUAUGGCAAUCUAUAGAAAUAGAAAAGAAACUAAACUCUUAUGGAUACUGUUAGCCUGUUACUUAAUUUUAUUAGUUGACUUUAAAAAAGCAUUUUAUACUUGUUAUAGAGUUAAAAAACUUUUAUUAUAGAAGUAUCUGUAUCUGUAUGAUAUAUUCUUGUGAUAGUUUUAUCUUUUAAUCUCUGCUAUGAUUGUUUUGUGUGUAAUGAAUCUUCUAAUUUGAGGUAAUAUUUUUAUAAUACAAUUCUAGUAAAUAUACCUUUACAGUAGAAAACUUUAAUUUUUUGAAAUUAUUAAAAGAAAAUUGCUAUAUGAAAUGUAAUAUAAUUUCAGCAUGCUUAAAACUCGAAAUCAGUUAUGAAUAUUUGAGUGUUGACUGUAUAUCAAAAUCAAUUUACCAAAAUGUGUUUUGUGCAGUAUUCAUUCUGUGAAAGGUUUUUAGAAAAUAGUUCUAUGUUCCCCAUAGUCCAACAUACUCUUUUUUAAAUAGUUGGUUCUAAAAUCAAGUGUGGAAAGUAAAAAAAAAAAGAGGGGGGGGUCCAACCAUGCCUUAGAAAAUUCUUUCAUUGUUCAUAAACUAAUUAGCAUUAUCUGUUACAAUCAUAUUUUCCUGUGGCAAUGUUCAAGGUUGGUUAAUAUUUCUUUGGUAGUAGGAGGUGAUACAAUUUAUUAGUAGUUGGUGUCUGUAUAGAAUAAAGAAACAUUUUUAUGUAUUUUUGAAUUACAUUCAUUGCAGUGAGUUUGCUGAAUUUUUCUGAGUCAUUGUUUAAUUUUAAUUUGCAAAAGUUUAAAUUCUCCAUUCUCUAAUCACCUCUUCCAGGAAAGAUUACCAUAGUAAAGGAGAUUAUUUGUAUUCUUGGGUACAUGGUUCCAAGAAGUCCAUUGUUGAGGAAAAACUGAAUGCUUAGGAUACAUGCUCAGUGCUGUAUUGCAGUUGCUUGAUUCAUUUUUUCCCUAACAUUACUCAGCUCUCUUAAAGCCUUUCAUCUUUCAACAAAUCUUAUUCAUUUUAUCAGUUAAUUUCUUUGUCUUGCUUGUUGGGCAUGUUUUCACAGAAUUGAGAGCAGGAAAACACUUAGCAGAUCACACAAAUAUUUAAACACAACUGGCAAUAAAAAGGACUGAACAAGAGCUUAUUCACAUCGACUGAACUGUUAUGUGCAUGUGUGGGAGUUGUUUCUUGACUAUGCUUGGUUAAGACUACAUAUAAUAAAUUCAUGAAUCAGGUAGCCUUACUGGUAUACUUUGUGAGAAUUCCUGAGUAAAACAAAUUAUUUGUCUGGCCUGGUGGAUCAUGAUCCUCCUACUUAAACCUCCAGUGUGUCUAGGAUCACUGACUUAAAGCCGUUGUAUCUGACUGAUUUGUUGAGAUUGGAUCAGUGUUAUUUCAUUUUUGUAUCAUUCUUUGUUUCCCUUCUUGUGUGAAAAUGUUUAAAAUGAGUUACUUUCCAUGUGCCUUUUUAUUUGAAGAGUAAUGUCAGAUUUUAAAUAAAUUUGUUUAAAUGUCUGGGUGCAAUAAAUUGUAUUUAUAUGGAUGAUGAUGAUUAGAUGAAUACUUUGUUAAUACAUGUUCUUUUAAGUGUAAGAAUAUGUUAUACUAAUUUGUAUACUCUUACUAUAAAAAUUCAGUAUCAUAGAGGUUAAAAUUUUUUGGUGAGGCAUAAUUGAAAUAAAUUUAUUUAAAUGAUUGUAUUAUAAUUGAUACCAAGUGUACUCAAUACUUUUUUCAAAUGUUAGAAUCACAAAUUCAAAAUUAAUAUUUGAUGGUAAGUUUGGUUGUAAGUACUUCAACGAAAGUUAAAUGAUAAAUGAAAUACAAAAUACAAGAGUGGAUUCCCUUUUCUUUUCUUUUCUUUUUUUUUGAGACAGGAUCUUUCUGUGGUAGCCCAGGCUGCCCUUGAUUCUCCUGCUUCAGCUUCCUGAUUGCUGGGUCUAUGGGUAUCUCGGCACAAGCCUAUAAAUUCUAGCACUUGAGAGCAUGAUACAGGAGGAUUAUGAAUUUGAGUUGAUCCUGGAACAUGGUCAGAACUUGUUUCCAAAAGGGAAAAAAAAAGCCCUAGCUAAGUUUUAUUUCUUAGAAUUUCACAAAAUUAUAAUCAUAUUGUUAUUUCUACCUUAAAACAUUCAAGUGGGUUAAUAUUCUAAAUUUUCCUUUUUUAAAUUAGCCUACCUUACUUUUAAUGUGUGUAUUUCAUUGUUCUUCUUUUUAAUAAAAACCUAACAUUUUUAAUACUUAUUUUCAACUAUCCUUUUAUCAGUAGUUCACUUUUUAUUGCUCUGUAGUAUCCUGUUGUACAAAUAUAUCAGCUUGUUUGUCUAUUUUCCCUUGUUAGAUUUAUGGAUGAUUUUUGGAUGUUAGAUAAAAAUAUUCCAUUAAUAUUCUGUAUAACUUUCUUGUGGACAUAAUGCUAGAAAAGGGAAAAUAUACAUUUAAUCUUUAAGAAACUGGCACCUUUUCCAAAGUGAUUGUACAAUUUUAACUUCCAUGAACAGUGUUGAGUUUUUAAAAAAAUAAAAUUUGCAUGUUCAAUAA
Long non-coding RNA from Dipodomys ordii (Ord's kangaroo rat), 3108 nucleotides. RefSeq lists it as uncharacterized. Lineage: Eukaryota; Metazoa; Chordata; Mammalia; Rodentia; Heteromyidae. The record is from RefSeq and is a predicted model, not a curated record. The transcript has 2 exons.